GACGAACGCUGGCGGCGUGCUUAACACAUGCAAGUCGAACGAUGAUGCCCAGCUUGCUGGGUGGAUUAGUGGCGAACGGGUGAGUAACACGUGAGCAACCUGCCCCGGACUCUGGGAUAAGCGCUGGAACCGGCGUCUAAUACCGGAUACGAGAUUCCACCGCAUGGUGAGUUUCUGGAAAGAUUUUUUGGUCUGGGAUGGGCUCACGGCCUAUCAGCUUGUUGGUGAGGUAAUGGCUCACCAAGGCGUCGACGGGUAGCGGGUCUUAUGAGGAUGAUCAGCCACAUGGGCACUGGGACACGGGCCCAACUCCUACGGGAGGCAGCAGUAAGGAAUAUUGCGCAAUGGGGGAAACCCUGACGCAGCGACGCCGCGUGCGGGAUGAAGGCCUUCGGGUUGUAAACCGCUUUUGUAGGGGACGAAUUUUGACGGUACUCUACGAAUAAGAGGUUGCUAACUCUGUGCCAGCCGCCGCAGUAA
This 480-nucleotide ribosomal RNA is filed under the name uncultured bacterium. Its description in RNAcentral is "partial 16S ribosomal RNA". It matches the Rfam family "Bacterial small subunit ribosomal RNA", at positions 28 to 523 of the family's 1533-position model. The record is from RNAcentral.